UCACGUUCAUUUUUUGAAAACAACAUGUUAUGAUAUCAAUACAUUAAAAUUUAUAAAUUUAGAUUUUAAAAAAAUUCAAAUAUCAAUACAUUAAAGUUUAAGAAAAUAUUUCACGUUCAUUUUUUGAAAACAACAUGUUAUGAUAUCAAUACAUUAAAAUUUAUAAAUUUAGAUUUUAAAAAAAUUCAAAUAUCAAUACAUUAAAGUUUAAGAAAAUAAUAUUAAU
Molecule: long non-coding RNA, 226 nt
Filed under: Lathyrus oleraceus (garden pea)
Lineage: Eukaryota; Viridiplantae; Streptophyta; Magnoliopsida; Fabales; Fabaceae
Description: Pisum sativum (pea) long non-coding RNA (PSAT_LNC040333)
Source: RNAcentral